Molecule: ribosomal RNA, 540 nt
Filed under: uncultured archaeon
Lineage: Archaea
Description: bacterial SSU rRNA
Rfam family: Archaeal small subunit ribosomal RNA
Source: RNAcentral
CAGCCGCCGCGGUAACACCGGCGGCCCGAGUGGUGAUCGUGAUUAUUGGGUCUAAAGGGUCCGUAGCCGGUUUGGUCAGUCCUCCGGGAAAUCUGAUAGCUCAACUAUUAGGCUUUCGGGGGAUACUGCCAGACUUGGAACCGGGAGAGGUAAGAGGUACUACAGGGGUAGGAGUGAAAUCUUGUAAUCCCUGUGGGACCACCUGUGGCGAAGGCGUCUUACCAGAACGGGUUCGACGGUGAGGGACGAAAGCUGGGGGCACGAACCGGAUUAGAUACCCGGGUAGUCCCAGCCGUAAACGAUGCUCGCUAGGUGUCAGGCAUGGCGCGACCGUGUCUGGUGCCGCAGGGAAGCCGUGAAGCGAGCCACCUGGGAAGUACGGCCGCAAGGCUGAAACUUAAAGGAAUUGGCGGGGGAGCACAACAACGGGGUGGAGCCUGCGGUUUAAUUGGACUCAACGCCGGACAACUCACCGGGGGCGACAGCAAUAUGUAGGCCAAGCUGAAGACUUUGCCUGAAUCGCUGAGAGGUGGUGCAUGG